RNAcentral lists this long non-coding RNA (419 nucleotides) under Mytilus galloprovincialis (Mediterranean mussel). Lineage: Eukaryota; Metazoa; Mollusca; Bivalvia; Mytilida; Mytilidae. The record is from RNAcentral.
UUGGUAUUUAAAGAAAGAUAAAUUUGUAUAUAAGGACUCCGUUUGGAUAUGCCAACGAGAGCACAUGAACUGCGUUCGGAUUUUCCAUCGCAAUCAUAUACAUUGUUUUUGGUUUAAAUUAACUAAGUUGUAACACUGAUACUUUAUAUUUGGACUUUAUUAAAUGAAUUUGGACUUUACCAAUUUGUUUAUGUUUACUGUAUUGAACUGCCGACUUGUGUGUGAAUAAAGAGCUAGUACCCCGCAUUGUGAAUCGUUCCCAAAGACGGAAUCCCACUCGAAGCCAUUUGGCAAUAUUUAUCUGGAAAGGUACAAAAUCUGUCUUCAUACAUGUACACCACUUUUGUAAAUUUCAUGAAUUCUCGUGUGCCUAUAAAAGUGACUUUUUUCACUAAAUUAUUUACCGAUACAGGUAAAUG